This 384-nucleotide ribosomal RNA is filed under the name uncultured fungus. Its description in RNAcentral is "partial small subunit ribosomal RNA". It matches the Rfam family "Eukaryotic small subunit ribosomal RNA", at positions 30 to 432 of the family's 1831-position model. The record is from RNAcentral. Lineage: Eukaryota; Fungi.
GCUUGUCUCAAAGAUUAAGCCAUGCAUGUUCAAGUAUAGCAAGUGUACAGUGAAACUGCGAAUGGCUCAUUAAAUCAGUUAUAAUUUAUUUGAUAGUGAAAUUGUACAUGGAUAACCGUGGCAAUUCUAGGGCUAAUACAUGCGUCAAUGGUCGGUCGACCAGUAUUUAUUAGAUACAAAGCCAGCCGUCAGGAUCAGGUGAAUCAUAGUAACUAAUCGGAUCGCAUGGGCUUUGCCCGCGACAAACCAUUCAAGUUUCUGCCCCAUCAGCUUUCGAUGGUAGUGUAUUGGACUACCAUGGCUAUUACGGGUAACGGAGGAUUAGGGUUCGAUUCCGGAGAGGGAGCCUGAGAAACGGCUACCACAUCCAAGGAAGGCAGCAGG